ACGUAGGCAGCAAGCGUUGUUCGGAAUUACUGGGCGUAAAGAGUGUGUAGGCGGUGCUCUAAGUCUGUUGUGAAAUCUCCCGGCUUAACUGGGAGGGUGCGGCGGAAACUGGAGUGCUCGAGGGUGGGAGAGGUAAGCGGAAUUCCUGGUGUAGCGGUGAAAUGCGUAGAUAUCAAGAGGAACACCUGAGGUGAAGACGGGUUGCUGGGCUGACACUGACGCUGAUGCGCGAAAGCCAGGGGAGCAACCGGGA
This 253-nucleotide ribosomal RNA is filed under the name uncultured prokaryote. RNAcentral's name for it is "partial 16S ribosomal RNA". It matches the Rfam family "Bacterial small subunit ribosomal RNA", at positions 525 to 777 of the family's 1533-position model. The record is from RNAcentral.